GUGGGGAAUUUUGCGCAAUGGGCGAAAGCCUGACGCAGCAACGCCGCGUGGAGGAUGAAGGUCCUUGGAUUGUAAACUCCUGUCAGCAGGGAAAAAGCGAAUCGGUCUAAUACACCGGUGAGUUGAUUGUACCUGCAGAGGAAGCCCCGGCUAACUCUGUGCCAGCAGCCGCGGUAAUACAGAGGGGGCAAGCGUUAUUCGGAAUUAUUGGGCGUAAAGGGCGCGUAGGCGGCUUGGCAAGUGGAAGGUGAAAUCCCUCGGCUUAACCGAGGAACUGCCCUCCAAACUGCUUCGCUUGAGACCGGGAGAGGUGAGUGGAAUUCCCAGUGUAGCGGUGAAAUGCGUAGAUAUUGGGAGGAACACCAGUGGCGAAGGCGGCUCACUGGACCGGUACUGACGCUGAUGCGCGAAAGCGUGGGGAGCAAACGGGAUUAGAUACCCUAGUAGUCC
This 450-nucleotide ribosomal RNA is filed under the name uncultured bacterium. Its description in RNAcentral is "bacterial SSU rRNA". It matches the Rfam family "Bacterial small subunit ribosomal RNA", at positions 354 to 796 of the family's 1533-position model. The record is from RNAcentral.